UACAGAGGGUGCGAGCGUUGUCCGGAAUCACUGGGCGUAAAGGGCGCGUAGGCGGCUGAUUUAGUCGAGGGGUGAAAGCCCGUGGCUCAACCACGGAAUGGCCUCGAUACUGGUUGGCUUGAGACCGGAAGAGGACAGCGGAACUGCGAGUGUAGAGGUGAAAUUCGUAGAUAUUCGCAAGAACACCAGUGGCGAAGGCGGCUGUCUGGUCCGGUUCUG
RNAcentral lists this ribosomal RNA (219 nucleotides) under uncultured bacterium. RNAcentral's name for it is "partial 16S ribosomal RNA". It matches the Rfam family "Bacterial small subunit ribosomal RNA", at positions 524 to 742 of the family's 1533-position model. The record is from RNAcentral.